UUCGAGAUGAGGACUCCCACCCACUUGAUGGGGUAAGGCUCCCAGUAGACGACUGGGUUGAUAGGCCGGAUCUGGAAGCACGGUAACGUGUGGAGGUGACCGGUACUAAUAGGCCGAGGGCUUGUCCUC
RNAcentral lists this non-coding RNA (129 nucleotides) under Streptomyces sp. CA3. Its description in RNAcentral is "partial 23S ribosomal RNA". It matches the Rfam family "Bacterial large subunit ribosomal RNA", at positions 2798 to 2925 of the family's 2925-position model. Lineage: Bacteria; Bacillati; Actinomycetota; Actinomycetes; Kitasatosporales; Streptomycetaceae. The record is from RNAcentral. RNAcentral also lists the same sequence under 3 other names.